Non-coding RNA from Trichonephila inaurata madagascariensis, 72 nucleotides. The record is from the annotation of a GenBank genome assembly. NCBI's taxonomy places the organism in Eukaryota, Metazoa, Arthropoda, Arachnida, Araneae, Nephilidae.
AGCAGAGCGGCGCAGUGGAAUCGUGCUGGGCCCAUAACCCAGAGGUCCGUUGGUCAAAACCACGCUCUGCUU